ACUCCUGCGGGAGGCAGCAGUGGGGAAUUUUGGACAAUGGGCGAAAGCCUGAUCCAGCAAUGCCGCGUGAGUGAAGAAGGCCUUCGGGUUGUAAAGCUCUUUUGUCAGGGAAGAAACGGUGAAAGCUAAUAUCUUUUGCUAAUGACGGUACCUGAAGAAUAAGCACCGGCUAACUACGUGCCAGCAGCCGCGGUAAUACGUAGGGUGCAAGCGUUAAUCGGAAUUACUGGGCGUAAAGCGUGCGCAGGCGGUUUUGUAAGUCUGAUGUGAAAUCCCCGGGCUCAACCUGGGAAUUGCAUUGGGGACUGCAAGGCUAGAAUCUGGCAGAGGGGGGUAGAAUUCCACGUGUAGCAGUGAAAUGCGUAGAUAUGUGGAGGAACACCGAUGGCGAAGGCAGCCCCCUGGGUCAAGAUUGACGCUCAUGCACGAAAGCGUGGGGAGCAAACAGGAUUAGAAACCCCAGUAGUCCCAUGAU
This 475-nucleotide ribosomal RNA is filed under the name uncultured organism. RNAcentral's name for it is "partial 16S ribosomal RNA". It matches the Rfam family "Bacterial small subunit ribosomal RNA", at positions 335 to 801 of the family's 1533-position model. The record is from RNAcentral.